This 409-nucleotide ribosomal RNA is filed under the name uncultured bacterium. Its description in RNAcentral is "bacterial SSU rRNA". It matches the Rfam family "Bacterial small subunit ribosomal RNA", at positions 350 to 751 of the family's 1533-position model. The record is from RNAcentral.
AGCAGUGGGGAAUUUUGGACAAUGGGCGAAAGCCUGAUCCAGCAAUGCCGCGUGAGUGAAGAAGGCCUUCGGGUUGUAAAGCUCUUUUGUCAGGGAAGAAACGGUGAGGGCUAAUAUCUCUUGCUAAUGACGGUACCUGAAGAAUAAGCACCGGCUAACUACGUGCCAGCAGCCGCGGUAAUACGUAGGGUGCAAGCGUUAAUCGGAAUUACUGGGCGUAAAGCGUGCGCAGGCGGUUUUGUAAGUCUGAUGUGAAAUCCCCGGGCUCAACCUGGGAAUUGCAUUGGAGACUGCAAGGCUAGAAUCUGGCAGAGGGGGGUAGAAUUCCACGUGUAACAGUGAAAUGCGUAGAUAUGUGGAGGGACACCGAUGGCGAAAGCAGCCCCCUGGGUCAAGAUUGACGCUCAUG